RNAcentral lists this ribosomal RNA (486 nucleotides) under uncultured bacterium. RNAcentral describes it as "bacterial SSU rRNA". It matches the Rfam family "Bacterial small subunit ribosomal RNA", at positions 95 to 616 of the family's 1533-position model. The record is from RNAcentral.
GCGGCAGACGGGUGAGUAACGCGUGGGAACGUACCUUUUGGUUCGGAACAACACAGGGAAACUUGUGCUAAUACCGGAUAAGCCCUUACGGGGAAAGAUUUAUCGCCGAAAGAUCGGCCCGCGUCUGAUUAGCUAGUUGGUGAGGUAAUGGCUCACCAAGGCGACGAUCAGUAGCUGGUCUGAGAGGAUGAUCAGCCACAUUGGGACUGAGACACGGCCCAAACUCCUACGGGAGGCAGCAGUGGGGAAUAUUGGACAAUGGGCGCAAGCCUGAUCCAGCCAUGCCGCGUGAGUGAUGAAGGCCCUAGGGUUGUAAAGCUCUUUUGUGCGGGAAGAUAAUGACGGUACCGCAAGAAUAAGCCCCGGCUAACUUCGUGCCAGCAGCCGCGGUAAUACGAAGGGGGCUAGCGUUGCUCGGAAUCACUGGGCGUAAAGGGUGCGUAGGCGGGUCUUUAAGUCAGGGGUGAAAUCCUGGAGCUCAACUCC